GAAAUGCGAUAAGUAAUGUGAAUUGCAGAAUUCAGUGAAUCAUCGAAUCUUUGAACGCACAUUGCGCCCGCCAGUAUUCUGGCGGGCAUGCCUGUUCGAGCGUCAUUACAACCCUCAGGCCCCCGGGCCUGGCGUUGGGGAUCGGCGGAGCCCCCCGUGGGCACACGCCGUCCCCCAAAUACAGUGGCGGUCCCGCCGCAGCUUCCAUCGCGUAGUAGCUAACACCUCGCGACUGGAGAGCGGCGCGGCCACGCCGUAAAACACCCAACUCUUCUCCUCAAAUCAAGCAAGAGUACCCGCUGAACUUAA
Molecule: unclassified non-coding RNA, 309 nt
Filed under: uncultured Fusarium
Lineage: Eukaryota; Fungi; Ascomycota; Sordariomycetes; Hypocreales; Nectriaceae
Description: sequence contains ITS1
Rfam family: 5.8S ribosomal RNA (bases 1-105)
Source: RNAcentral